RNAcentral lists this ribosomal RNA (253 nucleotides) under uncultured bacterium. RNAcentral's name for it is "partial 16S ribosomal RNA". It matches the Rfam family "Bacterial small subunit ribosomal RNA", at positions 524 to 776 of the family's 1533-position model. The record is from RNAcentral.
UACGUAGGGCGCAAGCGUUAUCCGGAAUUAUUGGGCGUAAAGAGCUCGUAGGCGGUUUAUCGCGUCUGCUGUGAAAGACCGGGGCUCAACUCCGGUUCUGCAGUGGGUACGGGCAGACUAGAGUGAUGUAGGGGAGACUGGAAUUCCUGGUGUAGCGGUGAAAUGCGCAGAUAUCAGGAGGAACACCGAUGGCGAAGGCAGGUCUCUGGGCAUUAACUGACGCUGAGGAGCGAAAGCAUGGGGAGCGAACAGG